This 253-nucleotide ribosomal RNA is filed under the name uncultured prokaryote. Its description in RNAcentral is "partial 16S ribosomal RNA". It matches the Rfam family "Bacterial small subunit ribosomal RNA", at positions 524 to 776 of the family's 1533-position model. The record is from RNAcentral.
UACGUAGGGGGCUAGCGUUGUCCGGAAUCAUUGGGCGUAAAGCGCGUGUAGGCGGUCCGGUAAGUCCGCUGUGAAAGUCGGGGGCUCAACCCUCGGAUGCCGGUGGAUACUGUCGGGCUUGAGUACGGAAGAGGCGAGUGGAAUUCCUGGUGUAGCGGUGAAAUGCGCAGAUAUCAGGAGGAACACCGGUGGUGUAGACGGCUUACCGGACCACGACUGACGCUGAGGCACGAAAGCGUGGGUAGCAAACAGG